GGUGCAAAUGAUGCAUGUUAGCGACCAAAGCCUGAUUUUUGCUGAUUAGUCAUAAUUAACUGACUGCACC
This is a small nucleolar RNA of Gorilla gorilla gorilla (western lowland gorilla), 70 nucleotides long. NCBI's taxonomy places the organism in Eukaryota, Metazoa, Chordata, Mammalia, Primates, Hominidae. The record is from Ensembl.